CCUGAUUGCAGACUGCAGGUCAGCCCUGCCUUCUCGUUUAAUCUGAAGUUAACUGUCUACCAGCUGCUGCUAAGGUCCAAAAGCAUGCCCAAGUCCCUCAGCUGUAGGAGCCUGCAAAUCAUGUCCAGGUCAUCUCCAAGCUGCCAACAUGGGACCUGUGUCAGUGACUCCUGCGGGAGCUGGGAACCAGCAAGGGCCUAUGCAAGGUGCCUGGGCUUCUGGACUUUUCCAGUGGCUGUUGUCUUCUAAAGACCAAGAGGCAGUAGCAGCCGGCAUUGUGGAGAGCUGCACAGAAGAGCUCCAGGCUGGCCAGCACAGAGUGUCUACCUCCUAUCUACAUCUACUCCACCUAUAAAUCUGUUUGGGAACAGCUUCUACAAAGAGAAAAGAUGCUCUCUUAAGCACACUGCUUACUCCAUUCGGAAGCACUCUGAACACAGCGAGAAGUGACUAUCCUGGCAAGAGUAGUUCCAAGCCUCAAAUCUCUUGCUAAAUAUUCAGAGUGAUGAAGCAAAGAUGGAUAUUAUUAUUAUUUGGUCGCUUCGAGGUAUAUUUUUAAGUGCUGCACAGAGAUUUAACAUUCCACUAACAACACAGAACAUUUGCUUGGCACACAAGCAGUGACCUUCAAGACUCAUCUGAGGACAAGGCAAGACAAAAAAGCUAAGCUACAGCAGCAGGGAGCUGACAAGUCAGGAAUGUACAUGCUUAAACAAGUUUCACUUAUUAAAAGAAAAUGUAAGCUUCUUUUCUGCGAUAUGUACUGCACAGACAGACUCCUCCAAUUACAUGGUGUGCCAGUGUACCCUAAUCGUCACCAUCAGAAGGAAAUAGGUCACCAGAACAAUUAGCACCAAAGUGGUGCAUAGCCUCCUCAGCUUGAAUUCUUCGGGUGACACCUGCAGAUUACUUGAGCUUUAGGUACAGAUAAUACACACAGUAGAAGUAGUAUAAAGAAAGGUAGAUCUGAGAUGCUCCCCCACAAGACUCCAAGCAAGCACCUGUCAGUUUACUUUGUUUUACUGACCAUGACAUUUUUGACUAUUGCACGCAGAAGAAAGAAAACCGUUUGCUUUCCCAUUCAUUAUGAUCCAUAGCCACAGGCAACAAAAUGUAUGCAUGUACUUAUGGAGGUGUUUAUUUGGCCCUCAUCACAGCUGAAGUAACAAGUAUUUGAAUUUGAUUACCUUCAUAUUUCUAGUAUUGAAAGGAAAUGGUGUAUAUAGUUUCUAAUAGACAGAGAGGAUGCCUCUGGACUGUCAUGUGUUGAAGACCUGACAGUUGAGAAACCACAGGAAAGCACAGGGGGAGUGCAGAUACAGAGUGAUGAUAUGAAAACAGCAAAUAAUGAGAAGGAGCAUGCCAGCAGAUGGCGGAAAAACAGACUGUUCAACAGCUAAGGACUCGAUAAGAUAUGAUAAUUUAACAAGUGGAAAAAGAUCCUUUAAUAAAAAAAAAAAAAGUCUCUGCAUGGAACAAAAGCUGAUGAGAAAAGAACAGGAAAGAAAAAAUUUCAAGAGUUACAUUUAAACCUUUUUUUCUUUUUUAUAUAAAUUUCUUAUUUUAAAAUGGAAAAAUUGCUGAUACAGUAUUAAGAAUAACUGAAAGUUCCUAUCCUGAUAAUCUCAAGAUAAGAAAAAUGACUACAUUUACUCAGCUCUAUCUUCAAUUAAUCAAAUAGCCCAGAAGAAAUGUUGAUGCUGUCUAGACUGCCUCUCCUACUUAAGGGAGAAUUUUAAAUAUUUUAGUGACUUUUGUUACACUGAAAGAGUUCACGGUUUCUGUCAAAUGGGUCUUCAUACAGAAGCACCGAGUUCUUUGAGGUUGAUGAGCAUACUAGCUGCCUAUCAGUCAGGCUAAAAUGAAAAAAGUCCUUGUGCUCCUAUAUGGAAUAAGACAGAUUAAACAAAAGAAACUAUUCUCCAAGGCAGAGCUUGGCAUGGCCUAUGCAGAAGAUGAGGCAGAUGCACAGAGGUUGAGGUACUCUCAGUCAUGCUAGGAGGAAAGAGUCCAUUUCUCUUCUCUGAACUAGUCUCCAAUAUAGGGGCUAAAUCAGGUUCAUAAAAGUUCAGAUGAGAGCUGACUUGGCAUCUUCCAGGUGAGAUGAUCGUGACUAUAGUCAAGCAUCAGUCCGGCCCCAUAGACUAGAUCUGUACAGCAAAGGGAGGUGAUUAGCUGUAGCAUCUGUCCUGUUGAUGCAUUGCUUCAAGAGACAAUUGAAAAAGUUUUGAAAAUACUGAAAAGUAAAGGCAGGCUAUGUCUGAUGUAACAAUGAAAAGAAAUAACACCUGAUUAAAGAAAUGGAGUGGGCUCAGAGUCAAAGGAGACCAACCAGAAUUUCCACUGAAGGUGUCACUUCGGUAUGCCUUUAUAGUCACCAGAGACCAAGGCAAUACUGCAGUUCAUGGAGCCCAACCACUUAAUUACCUUUUGAGAUCUUCGUGUAACCCACUACCAGUCCUUGCCUA
Dromaius novaehollandiae (emu) is the source of this 2468-nucleotide long non-coding RNA. RefSeq lists it as uncharacterized. The transcript has 4 exons. The record is from RefSeq and is a predicted model, not a curated record. Lineage: Eukaryota; Metazoa; Chordata; Aves; Casuariiformes; Dromaiidae.